GUGUCUGUCAGCGUGUGUGCCUUCGUGUGAGUGUGUCUGUACGUAGAGCGUCUGUACCCUGAGUGUGUGUUGUGUAUAUGUGGCGUUUGUGUGUGGCUGGGCCUAGGAAGGAGCUACAAAAUGGCCGAGCUGGAUUAAAAUUCUCUCCACCAAGUUCCCUUAUUCCCCGGUGUAGGAGGGAAGGGGAUUCGUGUCCUGGGCCACAGAUUUAGGAGUCCACAAGCAGGUCGUGGCCCUGGACUCCAGUUUUCUUAACCCGACGCUAAACUCUCCUAGCUUUAGAGCUGAAAGUGAGAGGUUCCUGUUAUCUGUCGGAUUCAUACUGAAGUUCACUGGCAAACUGUGGAUGAGUUGAGAUGGAAAGAGUACAUUGUUUCCUGACAUCCAUGAAGUGUGCGUUAAUUAUUCAACUGAUGCAUCCCAGCCAUCUUGAUGAAAAUAUCCUCUGCUCUCCAGUAAUUGUUCGGCCUCUAGCAAUGCCUCUUAUUGGCUUCCAGAAUGACCGUCUGGGUCUCAAAGUGGGUGCUGCUCAGCCUUUUCAGGAAGAGGUCAAAAGGACCUCCUCAUUGCUGAACACACAAAAGAUGUGGGACUAAUUAUAAUAGAGAUACAGACUGUGCUCUUAACUCCAUCCUAUGAGCUCCCAGGGGAGAGAAGGCAAAAGAGCAUGGCUGCAGGAAUCAGUACAUAUUGUUUCCCCAGCUAGAAAAACAACUCAACAUCCAUCCUACUCAAUCGGCUCAUUGGCUCAAUGGCUCAGUCUGGAGAGUCAUCUUUAUCAGAGAGCACAUGAGGAACUUCAUAAAGAGAGGCCUGGAGGCAUCUGAGUCCACAGUAUCCAUUAGACCACAACCAUGUGAACCACCGGAAAUAUAGUUCUCUAGUAUUUUGAACUCACUGCAAUCCGGGAUGGUGAGAGAUUGAGCGACAGUGUGGUCUAAGGAGAGACCUACUUUCAGAUCCUACUUCAUCUACUAUGGUGAUCAUGGCUAUCUGUCCACUAAAGAUAUGUUUCUAGUUGCCCUGGCAACCAACAAUUGGGCGUAGUUAACUAUUUACAGUUUCCAAAGUGAUUACAAAUGGGUCUCACCUAGCCUCGCCCAUUACCUGUUGGCACUGGAAUGCCCUCUUCAGUCUUGGGAAAGAAGUGACAAAGAGAGAUUCGAAGAAUAUUUGCAGGGGAACAGGACUCCAUCUGACUAAGAAGCCGUGUGCAGCAAGGUGUCUGUAAGGUGUUGGACUUGUCUCCAGUGCCCACUGUGGCCAACAUUUUGUGAAGAGGACGAUCUAGACCCGGCAAAUAACAUGCUGAUGCUACAUUCCCUUCUAUUCCAUUGCUAUGAGAAAGUGCUCCUGACCUCCAGGAAAAUUCUUCUCUGGUGACUCUUCAUGGAGGUGACCUUAAUUUUUAGGAAUUUAAAGAAGACCUAAAGGAAGGUCUGUGUUCAAACCCCACCUACCCGUGUGACCUAGCAGUGUGGCCAUAGGCAAGUCAUUCAAUUUCUGUGAACCUGUUUCCUUAUCGAAAAGGACCCUGCGAGCUUUAGAGUUUGGAGGAUUUUGGACUUACUGUCUCCUCAUUGACAUCCUAGCAGUAUCCCUGGAAAACUUAAUAGCAAUGUCUGCAGCAGGAGCCAAGGACAGAAUGGAUGCAGAAUCAAUGCUGUACAAGGAGCCCAACAGAAGCUCCCUCAUGUCUAAGAGGAACAUCUUGAGGAUUGCAGCAAAAGGACUUCCAGGAAUUGUGAGUUACCCAUUUGCUACAGGUAGUCUCUAAGCUUGAGUCCACUUUCCUCUGGGCUUUGUAUAUGCUUGUGAGAGUGUGUCACAGACUUCUUUUUUUUUUUAUUUAAUAGCCUUUU
This is a long non-coding RNA of Sarcophilus harrisii (Tasmanian devil), 1862 nucleotides long. RefSeq lists it as uncharacterized. The transcript has 10 exons. NCBI's taxonomy places the organism in Eukaryota, Metazoa, Chordata, Mammalia, Dasyuromorphia, Dasyuridae. The record is from RefSeq and is a predicted model, not a curated record.